GAUGAACGCUGGCGGCGUGCCUAAUACAUGCAAGUCGAGCGAACAGACGAGGAGCUUGCUCCUUUGACGUUAGCGGCGGACGGGUGAGUAACACGUAGGUAACCUACCUAUAAGACUGGGAUAACUUCGGGAAACCGGAGCUAAUACCGGAUAAUAUUUCGAACCGCAUGGUUCGAUAGUGAAAGAUGGCUUUGCUAUCACUUAUAGAUGGACCUGCGCCGUAUUAGCUAGUUGGUAAGGUAACGGCUUACCAAGGCAACGAUACGUAGCCGACCUGAGAGGGUGAUCGGCCACACUGGAACUGAGACACGGUCCAGACUCCUACGGGAGGCAGCAGUAGGGAAUCUUCCGCAAUGGGCGAAAGCCUGACGGAGCAACGCCGCGUGAGUGAUGAAGGUCUUCGGAUCGUAAAACUCUGUUAAUAGGGAAGAACAAACGUGUAAGUAACUGUGCACGUCUUGACGGUACCUAAUCAGAAAGCCACGGCUAACUACGUG
This 497-nucleotide ribosomal RNA is filed under the name uncultured bacterium. RNAcentral describes it as "partial 16S ribosomal RNA". It matches the Rfam family "Bacterial small subunit ribosomal RNA", at positions 28 to 507 of the family's 1533-position model. The record is from RNAcentral.